This 253-nucleotide ribosomal RNA is filed under the name uncultured bacterium. RNAcentral describes it as "partial 16S ribosomal RNA". It matches the Rfam family "Archaeal small subunit ribosomal RNA", at positions 474 to 727 of the family's 1478-position model. The record is from RNAcentral.
UACCAGCACCCCGAGUGGUCGGGACGAUUAUUGGGCCUAAAGCAUCCGUAGCCGGUUCUACAAGUCUUCCGUUAAAUCCACCUGCUCAACAGAUGGGCUGCGGAGGAUACUAUAGAGCUAGGAGGCGGGAGAGGCAAGCGGUACUUAGUGGGUAGGGGUAAAAUCCGUUGAUCCAUUGAAGACCACCAGUGGCGAAGGCGGCUUGCCGGAACGCACUCGACGGUGAGGGAUGAAAGCUGGGGGAGCAAACCGG